Molecule: ribosomal RNA, 301 nt
Filed under: uncultured bacterium
Lineage: Bacteria
Description: partial 16S ribosomal RNA
Rfam family: Bacterial small subunit ribosomal RNA
Source: RNAcentral
CAGUCGCCACGGUAAUACGUAGGGUGCGAGCGUUAAUCGGAAUUACUGGGCGUAAAGCGUGCGCUGGCGGUUGUGUAAGACAGGUGUGAAAUCCCCGGGCUUAACCUGGGAACUGCGCUUGUGACUGCACAGCUAGAGUAUGGCAGAGGGGGGUGGAAUUCCACGUGUAGCAGUGAAAUGCGUAGAGAUGUGGAGGAACACCGAUGGCGAAGGCAGCCCCCUGGGCCAAUACUGACGCUCAUGCACGAAAGCGUGGGGAGCAAACAGGAUUAGAUACCCGGGUAGUCCCUGUCUCUUAUAC